This 409-nucleotide ribosomal RNA is filed under the name Acanthamoeba sp. AC.S40.004/Thailand/T4. RNAcentral's name for it is "SSU rRNA". It matches the Rfam family "Eukaryotic small subunit ribosomal RNA", at positions 749 to 1082 of the family's 1831-position model. The record is from RNAcentral. Lineage: Eukaryota; Discosea; Longamoebia; Acanthamoebidae.
CGUUUACCGUGAAAAAAUUAGAGUGUUCAAAGCAGGCAGAUCCAAUUCUCUGCCACCGAAUACAUUAGCAUGGGAUAAUGGAAUAGGACCCUGUCCUCCUAUUUUCAGUUGGUUUUGGCAGCGCGAGGACUAGGGUAAUGAUUAAUAGGGAUAGUUGGGGGCAUUAAUAUUUAAUUGUCAGAGGUGAAAUUCUUGGAUUUAUGAAAGAUUAACUUCUGCGAAAGCAUCUGCCAAGGAUGUUUUCAUUAAUCAAGAACGAAAGUUAGGGGAUCGAAGACGAUCAGAUACCGUCGUAGUCUUAACCAUAAACGAUGCCGACCAGCGAUUAGGAGACGUUGAAUACAAAACACCACCAUCGGUGCGGUCGUUCUUGGCGUCGGUUUCGGCCGGCGCGGGGAUGGCUAGCCCG